AAAUUGAAGAGUUUGAUCAUGGCUCAGAUUGAACGCUGGCGGCAGGCCUAACACAUGCAAGUCGGACGGUAACAGGAAGCAGCUUGCUGCUUUGCUGACGAGUGGCGGACGGGUGAGUAAUGUCUGGGAAACUGCCUGAUGGAGGGGGAUAACUACUGGAAACGGUGGCUAAUACCGCAUAACGUCGCAAGACCAAAGAGGGGGACCUUCGGGCCUCUUGCCAUCAGAUGUGCCCAGAUGGGAUUAGCU
RNAcentral lists this ribosomal RNA (249 nucleotides) under Salmonella enterica subsp. enterica serovar Thompson. RNAcentral's name for it is "partial 16S ribosomal RNA". It matches the Rfam family "Bacterial small subunit ribosomal RNA", at positions 1 to 246 of the family's 1533-position model. The record is from RNAcentral. Lineage: Bacteria; Pseudomonadati; Pseudomonadota; Gammaproteobacteria; Enterobacterales; Enterobacteriaceae.